RNAcentral lists this ribosomal RNA (510 nucleotides) under uncultured bacterium. RNAcentral describes it as "partial 16S ribosomal RNA". It matches the Rfam family "Bacterial small subunit ribosomal RNA", at positions 28 to 507 of the family's 1533-position model. The record is from RNAcentral.
GACGGACGCUGGCGGCGUGCUUAACACAUGCAAGUCGAACGAAGAGCGAUGGAAGCUUGCUUCUAUCAAUCUUAGUGGCGAACGGGUGAGUAACGCGUAAUCAACCUGCCCUUCAGAGGGGGACAACAGUUGGAAACGACUGCUAAUACCGCAUACGAUCUGACCUCGGCAUCGAGGAUAGAUGAAAGGUGGCCUCUACAUGUAAGCUAUCACUGAAGGAGGGGAUUGCGUCUGAUUAGCUAGUUGGAGGGGUAACGGCCCACCAAGGCGAUGAUCAGUAGCCGGUCUGAGAGGAUGAACGGCCACAUUGGGACUGAGACACGGCCCAGACUCCUACGGGAGGCAGCAGUGGGGAAUCUUCCGCAAUGGACGAAAGUCUGACGGAGCAACGCCGCGUGAGUGAUGACGGCCUUCGGGUUGUAAAGCUCUGUUAAUCGGGACGAAAGGCCUUUUUGCGAAUAGUGAGAAGGAUUGACGGUACCGGAAUAGAAAGCCACGGCUAACUACGUG